CCAAUAGCGUAUAUUAAAGUUGUUGCAGUUAAAAAGCUCGUAGUUGAAUUUCGGGAUCAAUUAAUUGGUCGUGCCUCUGGUACGUACUGAUUUUAUUGGUUUCUCCCUUCUGACGAACCAUGAUGUCAUUAAUUUGAUGUCGUGGAGAAUCAGGACUGUUACUUUGAAAAAAUUAGAGUGUUUAAAGCAAGCUAACGCUUGGAUACAUUAGCAUGGAAUAAUGAAAUAGGACGUUUGAUCCUAUUUUGUUGGUUUCUAGGAUCGACGUAAUGAUUAAUAGGGAUAGUUGGGGGCAUUAGUAUUCAAUUGUCAGAGGUGAAAUUCUUGGAUUUAUUGAAGACUAACUACUGCGAAAGCAUUUGCCAAGGAUGUUUUCAUUAAUCAAGAACGAAAGUUAGGGGAUCGAAGACGAUCAGAUACCGUCGUAGUCUUAACCAUAAACUAUGCCGACUAGGGAUCGGAUGAUGUUAAUUUUUUAAUGACUCAUUCGGCGCCUUACG
RNAcentral lists this ribosomal RNA (500 nucleotides) under uncultured Glomus. Its description in RNAcentral is "SSU rRNA". It matches the Rfam family "Eukaryotic small subunit ribosomal RNA", at positions 591 to 1092 of the family's 1831-position model. The record is from RNAcentral. Lineage: Eukaryota; Fungi; Glomeromycota; Glomeromycetes; Glomerales; Glomeraceae.